This is an RNA transcript of Humulus lupulus (European hop), 1309 nucleotides long. RefSeq lists it as uncharacterized. The transcript has 3 exons. NCBI's taxonomy places the organism in Eukaryota, Viridiplantae, Streptophyta, Magnoliopsida, Rosales, Cannabaceae. The record is from RefSeq and is a predicted model, not a curated record.
AAUAUCUUUUUAUGGGUGGGACCCACUUUAAGUCAAAAUAGUCAAAUGAUUCUUUCUUCCCUUUUUUUUUUCUUUCUCUUUCCCCGACUUCUCUCUCUCUUCCCUUUCUCUUAUCUUCUUUCUCUAUUCUCUAAACGGCAACACGCCACCACCACAAAGACUCAACCUCCGGCAACCACUAUUUUUGACAUGCAGUGACUCAUUGAUUUGUCUUGCUCCAACGACCUCAACCACCAAGCGGCGCUGCCAAACUCGUCGUCUGUUCGGAAUAGUCAGUCAAAGUUUUGGUCCGUCAACUUUGAUUGUGUUUUCAGGCCAUCUCCGACCACCUCUCGACGAAUGGUUAGUACCUUUGAAAACAGCGUGAAGAGAGGAACAAAACCCACUUAGUCAUUCCGGUCAACUCGUCAUUUUUCUCUGGCGAGAUUUUGGGUAUCUUCUCCACUUUCCGGCGACGUUCCGACUAGUCUGAGCACCUUUUGGAUCGAUGGUUCGCAUGAAUGUGAUCUACUCGCUGAUGUGGUCAUUUUGUUAUAUGUCACACCUACCUUCGUCGAUGUUUCUGAUACACCGCUCACUGUCGCCACCAACCGCUACUGUGCACCGCUUGGGAAAAGUGUGAUAUUAAAAUUGGACUAAAUCAUUAUAGGAUCAUCGUUAAGCUCAGCAGCGUCGGUUUUAGCUUGGAUUGAAAAUUCUAAGGAGAAAACAAACAUCCAUAGUGAGCGCAUUUGCAUGGAUCGCAAGUUGUUCCAAGCUGCAACUGAUGGUGAACUUGAAGUCUUCAGGGAAAAGGUUAGUGAACUCCAACUGUUAUUGACCCCAGAAAGAAAUACAGUGCUCCAUGUCCAUAUCAUCACUACUUCAAGAACACUAAUCAAACAACCUUCGUGGAAGGGAUCCUAGACUUGUGUCCAGCACUGUUGAUGCAAACUAAUGCAAGAGAAGAGACUCCCAUACUCAUGGCAGCAAGGUACGACCAUCACCGCAUUGUUGAUUUUCUAAUUGAACAUGCAAAAUCAUCCCAACCACAAGACCUUGAAGAGGACAUCUCUGGUGUCCAAACGAUGAUAAGGAUGAAGAAUGAGGAAGAGGACACUGCGUUGCACGAGGCUGUGCGGUUCGGUCAUCUUGAGGUUGUGCAGAUAUUGACGAGAGAAGACCCUAAUUUCUCGUAUUCAGCUAAUAAAGCAGGCGAGACUCCACUCUACAUAGUCGUCCAGUGCCGACACCAAGAUUUGGUUAAUGUAAUACUAAAUAAUUGUUUUUCACCAGCUACCGGUGGUCUUAAUGGCAGAACUGCACUACA